UGGAGACUAUGAUUCUGCCAGAGGAACAGGACAAUGAUGUGAUUCAUUGGUUGGAUGUAGACACUUUAGGACUUAUCCUGAAAGUGCAUUUGCAUGAUUUGAAAAUAUAAGCACCAAAUCAUUUUGCCAAUACAACCAGGAAGUACGAAUUUCAUUGUGAGAAUGAAAAGAGGUUGCCACUAUGGAAGAAAAUGAUUUAACUUGUCUACAGACAUUCUUU
Long non-coding RNA from Suricata suricatta (meerkat), 220 nucleotides. RefSeq lists it as uncharacterized. The transcript is spliced from 4 exons. NCBI's taxonomy places the organism in Eukaryota, Metazoa, Chordata, Mammalia, Carnivora, Herpestidae. The record is from RefSeq and is a predicted model, not a curated record.